AGUCACACACACCCCGGUCGAAUGCUCCUGUCGUCCAGUGUGAAGGUCCACUUACUGCACCCUCAGCAGAACUCAAUCCUCAAGAGCAAUUUGCUGUAUUUCAUAUUUUCUUGGAGAGGCUCUCCGAUAUUUUGACGUCUUAUCCUUCUGCUGAGCCUCAGAAAAGCUCUGCAUCAUCAUGGUCUUUUCGGCAGCAGAAAGCCUCAGAGCGCUGGAAAGAAGCGAGACCACACCACCUGAAAUGCCUUACUGCAACAGAGGCUGUUGGUCAGCCAUUGUGUUGGCUUUGCCACGAGCCUGCUGUUAUUAGAGAGUGUCUUCCUGAGGACUGGUUCUGUGGAGACUGUGAUGUAUUGCAUCACAAAAAACAGCCACUCCACAACAGAGAAUGUGUGAUUCAUGGGUUUUUGAAGCCAUUCCUCCAACCUCAUGCGUCAUUAAAGGGCGAGAUGGAUAUUGCAUCCAUGAGCAAGCUUGCAUUUUGCCAACAGUGAAGGCGCCAGACUGCUCCUGUGAAGGCACAAACUUCACCAUAUUACCGGGCAAACCAGUGAUUUUAAUUCCCAUCAAUGGGCGUUUUGACUUGCAUCAGCCACUACAUGUACGUCAAACGUGCCAGCAUCAGUGGACCCCUGACUUGAAGGACCUCCUUAGGAGUGGAUAUUGGCCAGCCUCUGUCACCAGCUCCACACUUUAUACACCGGACCUCCUCAACUCCUUUCAGGAACUCAAGGUCAUCUCUCCAGGAUUCUCCAGACAAGCCUUCGCAAAGCUGCUGGAGCAUUGCACUAAGAUUGGAGGAAGAUCUGGACAAAUCAACGGCGAUACACUACAGCGCAGCUUCUUAGAGUUUAUGCUUCAUUUGAGGAAGACCAGCUCUGCUGUGGUGCUCCUUUCACCUGCCCAGCCUGCACGCCGGAAAUGUUGGCUGUUUCAGCCGAUGGAAACAGAAAGCUAUAUCGCUUUCGCCGAGACACAAGCUCUGAUGAUCCUGCCUUUUUUGAGGGGCUCUUUGUGGCUGAAGACGUUGCGGUGUCUAGAUUUGUGGAAACCAUACAGAAAGCCGUGAGAAAUGCAAGUUUCAAUCAUAACUUGACCGAAAAGUUGUCCCAAAAAGAACCAUAUAUAUCCAUAUAUGUCCGACCUUGAUUUCCUCCUUGACUUCUACCAACCAGCUACUCCAAAAUCAAACUGCGAGAAUAAAUGCCAUAUAUUGUAUGACGGCAUUGCUUUUGUUUGAUUUGUUGUGUUUGUUAUGUGUGUCAUAGACACAGUGAAAAGGCACAUGUGGGGACUCCCAGUGGACAGCAGCGAGGGAGACAUCAAGGAGGGCUUCCAAAUUGGAUGAAGAGGGGAUGGAGGUUGCAGUGUGUCGCCACGGAUUCCUUCUGAAAGCUCUUAAUAUGUACAGGGGGGAGAUAUUUGCCCACCCUCUGUAUCUUCAGAAGGAGCGCAUGCCAGCCAAGGCACAAUUCUUUGCAAUGGAUGUGGCUUGCAAAUAUUGGCCAUACUUGGAGAAAGCUGCUAUGUCGUGUCUUUUCUUCCUUAACAAGCAGUAAUGACCACUGACGACUUGAUUUGAAAAAAAACGAACUGUUUACUGAAGCUUACGAACAGGAUUACACAGAUACAGCGCACACAUGUAAUCAUUCACUUUUCUUUCGUCUCUCACUUAUUUUUCUGCGCGCUCACUUUUUCUCUUUCUUUUUUGCGCGCUCUCUCCCCCUAUGCAUUAUGGGAGCACUUUUCUUAAAGCUGAACAACCUUGUAAAUAACAAAACUUUUUCUGUUAUUAAUAAAGAUAAUUAAUUAAACAUUUCUAAUCUAAUUAAUUCACAACAUGCUAGUGUCCUUCCUGCUCUUCAGGAUCUGACCACAAUGAAACCUUUCCUCAGUGUGAUGCAUGCUUGAGCCCAUGCUACUAAGUGUGAAGUAUGUAUAAUAUUCUUGCAUCACAUGUACAUUUGUAAUGUUUACAAGAAAAACUGCAAACUGUACUAUGUAGCCUUUUUGCUUAAUCGUUUCUUGUACAGAUUGUAAAGCCUUUGAGACAAAUUGUGCCCAUUUAAUUAAAUUGAAUUUCUUUCACCAUUUACUAAUAGAUUAAAUGGAGUGGUAGAAACCAGGAAGGAGCAGAGACAACCGCCGGUGAGGAGGUCGAGCAAGUGAACAGCUACCUCUCACGUUGUGCCCUGACAACCAAAUAUAUGUCCAAAGCAGCACGGGUAGACAUGCUUACAUUGCAUGCAAUGGGGUGGAACCACAAAAAACGUCUCUCUCUACAUCAGUCACUUUCAACAAGAUAUGUGACGACUUGCCAGAGACUCCAGGAUGAAACGGCAAGGCUAGCUGAACUAAAAACAGAGUUACUUUGCACAGAUGAAGUGGUGGCACAGUGGCUUUCUGAUGUGAAGGAAUGAGCAGCUGGCGAGACACCAAAUACAUCUCAUGGCAGUCAAGGCACCGCACACAGAGGACUUCAGCAGUCGAUCGAGGGGCUUUACCUCAGUGUGAGGCAGCGGAAGCAAACCCUUUACCGUCAGAAUGACAGCAGCAAGCUUCGCCACCGC
Long non-coding RNA from Onychostoma macrolepis, 2570 nucleotides. RefSeq lists it as uncharacterized. The transcript has 11 exons. The record is from RefSeq and is a predicted model, not a curated record. NCBI's taxonomy places the organism in Eukaryota, Metazoa, Chordata, Actinopteri, Cypriniformes, Cyprinidae.